AGGCUUUUCCUAGCUGAUAUCCUUCUGAGCUGUGGUAGAGAAAGGGGAAGCAGUGCCCUCAUGGCUCCUGGAUUUACAGUUCCUGAGGAAGAACUGACAAAUAGAGGAAGACUUCCCUAAUAUCAAAUGAAGCAGAACCUUCUGGGCAGAAGGAAAACAGGUGAUGUUGCAAUGACAGGGCUCACCUUUCCACCUCGUGUUUGAUGAGGGUUUGAGAAAAGAGCCACAUUCUUUCCAAAAGUCAGGUCAGAAGCCUUUCCACACUUUGGUUUCCCAAUUCAGCACCCGUAAUGUCAAAUAAAACGAAGGCCCUUGCCCCAAGUGAAGUCAUCAGCAAAUAUCUCUUUGCUUUCCGGGGGACUGUGUUCUCUCACAACAUCUUUUGGAAUUAUCACUUCAUACUGAAACAAGGGUUUGAUCUUUUCAUGAGAUGUAUGGUGAUGAAAUUAAGGCCAGGGGCUCUGGGGACAGAAGAGAAGGCUGGCGCCACUCGUAUGCCCUGGAGAAACAGUGAGAUGAAGAGCACAGCCUCUAGAGCCAGAGUGUCUGGAUCUAAAAUUGGCUCUGCCAACAAGCAUAAUUGAAAAUUAAGAAUGCCAUGUAAAGCAAGGUGAAAAAGGCAGGGGUGUACACAUCAAUCCCAGAUCCAGGGAGCCAACAUCUUUAAGUAGACUUCUUCAGAUGGCCUGUGGGGUACCACAGAGCUUACAGAACAACUUAAGAUCACUCCAAACCAGAGUCAAAGACAUCCCUGCCACGCAGCACAUAGAUUUAUAACUCUGGUCAAAGGUUUCGACAAAUACAGAUUUCUUCAAUCCGAAGUCCAUCUGUGUGUGUUCCCAGAAAUAAAGAACAGUGCAUGUCUAUCUCCCUCUCUCUAAUCCGUAGAGGUAGCAAGGGCAGGAGAAUUGAAUUCCCAAAAGGACUUCUUAUAGCUCUGGUGACAAUUACCAUCUCAAACAGGCUGGUGCUACCUUGGGGACACAUGUGGACUUUAUUUUUUGCUCUCUUUUUUCAAACUGAGGUAGUGUCAGCACUGACACAGACAGUCCAGAGAAAAGAAACUGUGUCUGCUGUCAUGUUUAUUUAGUUGGUAUAAGUGGAAAGAUCAUAACCUGAAGUUUUGAUGAAAACACACUUCUUGCUCAGAUAAUCCAUUAUGUCAUUGAUUAGUUCUGCUAAGAGAAAGCGAAUGGGUUAAAGAAACAAAAAAGACAACAAGAUGUGGGAUUAGGUCUGGGGAUGUGGAGCAUGUAGGGAACAUCAUAAAAUUUCUGAUUUCAUAUCUGGGACCUGGGUACAUGAUCUGAGACAUAAAUUUGAAUGUUCAACAGCCAAAUUAUCCUGCCCCCUAGACAUAACCUCCCAUGAUGCAAAGCAACAGGGAAGGUGCAUGAAUUCUUUCAGGCUCUAUGAAUGUCCCUGAGCAAUCUGUUUCUUUAGCAUCUUACAUAAACAUGGCUGGAAUGACAAAAGCUCACCAGGGUGCCUAUGGGGAAGGGGUGCAGUUCCAAUGCCUGAAGUCUCUGUGACAACACCAAGGGAAAAACAUUGGAAUGGAAGCCAAUAUAAUGAUAUUGAACCCGCUCAAGUGAGCAGUUUUGUGGAAGGCAUCCAUUUUGGAGCUGAGCUCAAAUACUACUGGAGCUCAGUAUUGUAGAACAGCCUGAUUCACCACCAGGUCUGCAGUAGAGUCCAGGUAUGGCAUUACCCUUUGAUUUACCUAAUCUGGGAAGAAGCCAAUUGGCCUAUGGAACACCUGAAAGUAAAACACUGCCCACCAGAGAUGAGAAACUUUGCCUGCCUAUAAACUCUGAUAAGAUGCCCUUGAUAACUGAAAACCACAGGAAUGCCAACAAUAAGUCUCAGUUAUUGAGAAGUUUGCUGUCCAGUGGGAAAGGCAGGUAAUAACAAUCCUCAAAAAUAAUACAUUAAGUGCUAUACUAAGGGUAUAUCCAGGGUGCUGUCAGAAUGCAGAAGAGGCAGUACCUAAUCCAGCCUGACAGUGAGGGUCAGGGAAGGCUGCCACUAUAUCUAGAUUUAAGAAAUUCAGAGCACAGUUGACAUAGCUUGUCUUAAGGAUGACACUUGGCCUUCUAAAUAAAUCAAACUUUUCCCAGAACCAUUUCAAAGGACUUAGCUCUGUGUAUCCAUCUGCAUUCCCAGUGAAUGGAAGAAAGGUCAGAAAUGAGUUAAUGCUCAUACACUGGCCUGUGCCACUGUUUUAAAUCUAUUGUCACUGCUUUGUCUGCUGAAUUAGUAUUCCUCCCUACCUGAUUUUCUUUAACAAGCCAGUUCUUUGUGUCUUCCAAUAUCCUUCUCUUCAUAUAAUUUCAAAACAGAUCUCCGUCUAACCACUUAAAUUGUUUAGCUUCAUGUGACAUGUCUUCUGGAGGCUAACAGCAUAAUUGCUUUAGAUAAUUUUUUUUUGUUUACAUUAUGUAAGAUUUUACUUCACUUGACAUUUGCUAUUUUCCCUUCCCUACCUUCUGUAUACUUCAAGGAAUUCUGAACUGUCAGUGCUCACACAGCAUAAGCCUGGCACUUAUUUUCAGUAUGAUAUGUCACUUCAUAACAAAAAACCUAGAAACAUAUUCAUUUCCUGUAAAAUUAUCUGAGUUGAGUGAGUUUAAAGUUGGAGAAUGGGCUCUACCUGGGGCUACAGAGAGAGCUCAAGCCCCUAAAAGUGAAUGUCAUCCUCUCAUGCCCUGAUGAAGCUGUUUAUUUUCCAUGACGUAGCACUUUCCAUCCAGGACAAGGUCUGACCAGCCUGGCUCACGACAAAAUUAGACUGGAUAUUGGCAUCCUCUUAUCUUUUUGUCUUUUCUCAUUGGUAUUGUUCACGUGUCCAUUAUUCCUCUGGUCUGGAGAGGCUGAAAGAACUCAGGAAUUACAAGGAUGGACCUUUCAGUUGCAGGCUGUGGACCUAUAGUAGGUCCUUUAGAGUGGGAUGAUUUGUUGUUGAGUAAGGGCCUUGCUCAAGCAUUGUCAGCCCAAGCUUGGACACAAUGCAGGGUCACUUCGGUUCUCCUGGAAAUGAGAAUAGUGGUAGCCAGUGGAGAGACUAUUUUUGGAAUAACAUUUCCAAAGGCCAUUUCCACUUCAAAAAUAAAUAUUAUGCACGAACUGGUAUGAUUAUGUAGAUUUUCAUGUUGGAUCUGUUAAUAUGAUAGAUUAUACUGACAGAUUUUUAAACUGCUUUAUUGAGAUAUAAUCCACGUACCCUACAAUUCACACAAUUAAAGGAUACAAUUCAGUGGUUUUUAGUACAAUCACAGAGUUGUGCAACUGUCACCACAACUUAAUUUUAGAACAUUUUCAUCACCUUCAAAAGAAAUGCCAUACCCAAUAGCCAUUACCACCACAUCUCCCAUUUACGCAAGCCCUAGGCAAUCAAUAAUCUACUUUCUGUCUCUAUAGAUUUUUCCUCAUUCUGGACAUUUCACAUAAAUGGAAUUAUAUAGUAUGUAGUGGCUUGUUACUGGCUUCUUUCACUCAGCAUACCGUUUUUAAGGUUUGUCUGUGUUGUAGCAUGUAAGAGAGGUAGUUCACUGUUUUUUAUUGCCAAAAAAUUUCCAUUGUAUAGAUAUAUCACAUUUUGUUUAUCCAUUCAUCAGUUGAUGGGCAUUUGGGUUAUUUCCUCUUUUUGGCUAUUAUGAACAUUGAUGUACAAGUGUUUUUGUGAACAUAUAUUUUUAUGUGUCUUGAAUCUAUACCUAGGAGUGAAAUUGCGGGUCAUAUGGUAAUUGUAUAUUUAACCAGUUAAGAAUUGAGAGAAAACAGGCAACAGUGAGAACUUUUCAGAAGAAAAUGUUAAGGACAGUAAAAGGAGAUCGUGUUUGGGACUGAAAGGGGCUAACCCUAGCCAGUCUGCAUAAUCUGGAUAUCAAUGGUGGUAACAAAAAACAUUUCCUAGGUAGCCCUUAGAAAACAAAACUGCAAGUAAACUUUCUUUUAGUUAUAAUGUCCUAAGAUAUUUUUCUUAUCCAUACAGGGGGUUAGGUAGAUUUUCUAUUCUUGUAAAUUAUUUGUACAUGGCAGGUCUCAGAAGCACUUAGGAGGAAAUUGUAUCAAUUUCAUUGCCUACAGUCAUAUCUGAAUCUUGUAAAGCUGUGCUGUCCAACAUUAUGGCCACCAAUCAUGUGCUGCUUUUAAAAUUAAAAUAAAAUAAAAUUUAAAAUUCAAUUCCAA
Molecule: long non-coding RNA, 4191 nt
Filed under: Homo sapiens (human)
Lineage: Eukaryota; Metazoa; Chordata; Mammalia; Primates; Hominidae
Description: HSALNT0300984
Source: RNAcentral